AGAGUUUGAUCAUGGCUCAGGACGAACGCUGGCGGCGUGCCUAACACAUGCAAGUCGAACGGACUGUUGCCCUUCGGGACAACAGUUAGUGGCGAACGGGUGAGUAACGCGUGGGUAACCUGCCCUUAUAUCGGGGAUAACUUGCCGAAAGGUGAGCUAAUACCGGAUGCUCUAUUGAGAUUGCAUGAUCUUAAUAGUAAAGGUGGCCUCUGAAUAUGCUACCGUAUAAGGAUGGACCCGCGUCUGAUUAGCUAGUUGGUGAGGUAACGGCUCACCAAGGCGACGAUCAGUAGCCGGCCUGAGAGGGUGAACGGCCACACUGGGACUGAGACACGGCCCAGACUCCUACGGGAGGCAGCAGUGGGGAAUCUUCCGCAAUGGACGAAAGUCUGACGGAGCAACGCCGCGUGAGUGAAGAAGGUCUUCGGAUUGUAAAACUCUGUUUUUUGGGAAGAACGGUCUCUAUGUGAAUAAUGUAGGGAAUUGACGGUACCAAAGGAGGAAGCCCCGGCUAACUACGUGCCAGCAGCCGCGGUAAUACGUAGGGGGCAAGCGUUGUCCGGAAUUAUUGGGCGUAAAGAGCGCGCAGGCGGCUAUUUAAGUCUACCGUGAAAGCUUACGGCUCAACCGUAACGGGUCGGUGGAUACUGGAUGGCUUGAGGGCAGGAGAGAAAAGUGGAAUUCCAGUGUAGCGUGAAAUGC
RNAcentral lists this ribosomal RNA (702 nucleotides) under uncultured Eubacteriales bacterium. Its description in RNAcentral is "bacterial SSU rRNA". It matches the Rfam family "Bacterial small subunit ribosomal RNA", at positions 8 to 689 of the family's 1533-position model. The record is from RNAcentral. Lineage: Bacteria; Bacillati; Bacillota; Clostridia; Eubacteriales.